CUACGGGCUGCAGCAGUGGGGAAUAUUGCACGAUGGGCGCAAGCCUGAUGCAGCCAUGCCGCGUGUAUGAAGAAGGCCUUCGGGUUGUAAAGUACUUUCAGCGGGGAGGAAGGGAGUAAAGUUAAUACCUUUGCUCAUUGACGUUACCCGCAGAAGAAGCACCGGCUAACUCCGUGCCAGCAGCCGCGGUAAUACGGAGGGUGCAAGCGUUAAUCGGAAUUACUGGGCGUAAAGCGCACGCAGGCGGUUUUUUAAGUCAGAUGGUGAAAUCCCCGGGCUCAACCUGGGAACUGCAUCUGAUACUGGCAAGCUUGAGUCUCGUAGAGGGGGGUAGAAUUCCAGGUGUAGCGGUGAAAUGCGUAGAGAUCUGGAGGAAUACCGGUGGCGAAGGCGGCCCCCUGGACGAAGACUGACGCUCAGGUGCGAAAGCGUGGGGAGCAAACAGGAUUAGAUACCCCAGUAGUC
Molecule: ribosomal RNA, 465 nt
Filed under: uncultured bacterium
Lineage: Bacteria
Description: partial 16S ribosomal RNA
Rfam family: Bacterial small subunit ribosomal RNA
Source: RNAcentral